RNAcentral lists this ribosomal RNA (512 nucleotides) under uncultured Actinomycetes bacterium. RNAcentral describes it as "bacterial SSU rRNA". It matches the Rfam family "Bacterial small subunit ribosomal RNA", at positions 355 to 859 of the family's 1533-position model. The record is from RNAcentral. Lineage: Bacteria; Bacillati; Actinomycetota; Actinomycetes.
UGGGGAAUCUUGCGCAAUGGGCGAAAGCCUGACGCAGCGACGCCGCGUGCGGGAAGAAGGCCUUCGGGUUGUAAACCGCUUUCAGGAGGGACGAAGCCACUCGGGUUAAUAGCCUAGAGGGUGACGGUACCUCCAGAAGAAGCCCCGGCUAACUACGUGCCAGCAGCCGCGGUAAUACGUAGGGGGCUAGCGUUGUCCGGAUUUAUUGGGCGUAAAGAGCGUGUAGGCGGCCAGGUAGGUCCGGUGUGAAAACUCGAGGCUUAACCUCGAGAUGUCAUCGGAAACCAUCUGGCUAGAGUCCGGAAGAGGAAAGUGGAAUUCCUGGUGUAGCGGUGAAAUGCGCAGAUAUCAGGAAGAACACCAAUGGCGAAAGCAGCUUUCUGGGACGGUACUGACGCUGAGACGCGAAAGCGUGGGGAGCGAACAGGAUUAGAUACCCUGGUAGUCCACGCCGUAAACGAUGGGCGCUAGGUGUGGGCGGUGUCGACUCCGUCCGUGCCGAAGCUAACGCU